GUGCCAGCAGCCGCGGUAAUACGAAGGGAGCUAGCGUUGUUCGGAAUCACUGGGCGUAAAGCGCACGUAGGCGGAUGUGUCAGUCAGGGGUGAAAUCCCGGAGCUCAACUUCGGAACUGCCUUUGAUACAGCACAUCUGGAGUCCGGAAGAGGUGGGUGGAAUUCCUAGUGUAGAGGUGAAAUUCGUAGAUAUUAGGAAGAACACCGGUGGCGAAGGCGGCCCACUGGUCCGGUACUGACGCUGAGGUGCGAAAGCGUGGGGAGCAAACAGGAUUAGAUACCCCGGUAGUCCUGGCUGUAAACGAUGGAUACUUGGUGUGGGAGGUAUUGAGUCCUUCCGUGCCGACGAUAACUCAGUAAGUAUCCCGCCUGGGGAGUACGGUCGCAAGACUGAA
This 395-nucleotide ribosomal RNA is filed under the name uncultured bacterium. Its description in RNAcentral is "bacterial SSU rRNA". It matches the Rfam family "Bacterial small subunit ribosomal RNA", at positions 505 to 898 of the family's 1533-position model. The record is from RNAcentral.